Drosophila melanogaster (fruit fly) is the source of this 451-nucleotide non-coding RNA. The record is from Ensembl. Lineage: Eukaryota; Metazoa; Arthropoda; Insecta; Diptera; Drosophilidae.
CAUAAGAGCCCCAGGACGUUCGGAAUUAAAACUAAAAAAAAAGUGCAUUGUUACAUCUGCCGGCGUUUUUCAAAAAUGGGAUCAACAACUCGUGCAAGCUGCGACGCAAAAGGAAGCGCGAAAAGUGCUCUCUACCAACAGAUGAGAACAGGGUAGAACCAAAAACACGCUUGCAGACGUGCAAAAUGAAAAGCGAGACCCGUUUAAACUAAAACGAACAAAGAUAGAAAUAAAAACCAGUUUUAAUGGGAUUAAUGACAAUAUAGUCGUUUCUCUCGCACUCAUCUACCAACAGAUACUCGCCAUCUGAGGUAGAUAGAAUUCUAUAGGGCGAACAAAAAGAGAGUUGCAAAGUAGCAACGCUAAACGACAAAAAUAACGGUCCAAACGAUACAAACAGUAGCAUAACGUCAUACAACCUGCGUCUUUCAAAGAAAACCGGAACAGCCUU